ACGACCUUACUUAAACAAGAUCUUUCCCGUCGUACCUUUGUAUCCUUGAGUUCUAUGGAGGCAGGUCUCAAGUCUGGUGGAUGAAUUCAACCAUGUGAUCAACACGUGAUUGACAACGAUUGUAGGUGGUCUAGUCCAGAUGUAGUAGAGUAUCAUUCUCAAUUGGUUUAAUUGGGAUGGUCACAUGGUUGUUUGACUAACU
RNAcentral lists this small nucleolar RNA (202 nucleotides) under Cephalotus follicularis. Its description in RNAcentral is "Plant small nucleolar RNA U3". It matches the Rfam family "Plant small nucleolar RNA U3". From Rfam's summary of the family: Small nucleolar RNAs (snoRNAs) are involved in the processing and modification of rRNA in the nucleolus. There are two main classes of snoRNAs: the box C/D class, and the box H/ACA class. U3 snoRNA is a member of the box C/D class. The record is from Rfam by way of RNAcentral. Lineage: Eukaryota; Viridiplantae; Streptophyta; Magnoliopsida; Oxalidales; Cephalotaceae.